This 880-nucleotide ribosomal RNA is filed under the name Russula globispora. RNAcentral describes it as "eukaryotic LSU rRNA". It matches the Rfam family "Eukaryotic large subunit ribosomal RNA", at positions 74 to 931 of the family's 3401-position model. The record is from RNAcentral. Lineage: Eukaryota; Fungi; Basidiomycota; Agaricomycetes; Russulales; Russulaceae.
AUUCCCCUAGUAACUGCGAGUGAAGCGGGAAAAGCUCAAAUUUAAAAUCUGGUGGUCUUUGGCCAUCCGAGUUGUAAUUUAGAGAAGCGUCUUCCGCGCUGGGCCGUGCACAAGUCUCCUGGAAUGGAGCGUCACAGAGGGUGAGAAUCCCGUCUUUGGCAUGGACACACCAGGGCUUUUGCGAUGCGCUCUCGAAGAGUCGAGUUGUUUGGGAAUGCAGCUCAAAAUGGGUGGUGAACUCCAUCUAAAGCUAAAUAUUGGCGAGAGACCGAUAGCGAACAAGUACCGUGAGGGAAAGAUGAAAAGCACUUUGGAAAGAGAGUGAAACAGUACGUGAAAUUGUUGAAAGGGAAACGCUUGAAGUCAGUCGCGUCGACCGAGACUCAGCCUUGCCUUGGCUUGGUGUACUUCUCGGCCGACGGGUCAGCAUCAAUUUCGCCCCUUGGAUAAUGAUGGGGGAAAUGUGACACCUUUACGGUGUGUUAUAGUCUCUUGUCGCAUGCAAGGGUCGGGAUUGAGGAACUCAGCACGCACCUUUGGGUGUCGGGGCCUUUGCCCACGAUACGUGCUUAGGAUGUUGGCGUAAUGGCUUUAAACGACCCGUCUUGAAACACGGACCAAGGAGUCUAACAUGCCUGCGAGUGUUCGGGUGGAAAACCCGUGCGCGUAAUGAAAGUAAAAGUUGGGACCUCUGUCGUGGAGGGCACCGACGCCCGGACCAGACCUUCUGUGACGGCUCUGCGGUAAAGCAUGUAUGUUAGGACCCGAAAGAUGGUGAACUAUGCCUGAAUAGGGUGAAGCCAGAGGAAACUCUGGUGGAGGCUCGUAGCGAUUCUGACGUGCAAAUCGAUCGUCAAAUUUGGGUAUAGGGGCGAAAGAC